CCUACGGGUGACAGCAGUGGGGAAUAUUGCGCAAUGGGCGAAAGCCUGACGCAGCGACGCCGCGUGAGGGAUGAAGGUCUUCGGAUCGUAAACCUCUGUCAGCAGGGAAGAACGGUCACUGGGCUAAGCAGCAGUGAAUUGACGGUACCUGCAAAGGAAGCACCGGCGAACUCCGUGCCAGCAGCCGCGGUAAUCCGGAGGGUGCGAGCGUUAAGCGGAAUUACGGGGCGUAAAGCGCUCGUAGGCGGUAUGUCAAGUCAAGGGUGAAAUCCCCGAGCUCCACGUGGGAACUGCCUUUGAAACUGGCAAACUGGAGUGUGUGCGAGGAUAGUGGAAUUCCCGGUGU
RNAcentral lists this ribosomal RNA (346 nucleotides) under uncultured bacterium. RNAcentral describes it as "partial 16S ribosomal RNA". It matches the Rfam family "Bacterial small subunit ribosomal RNA", at positions 338 to 676 of the family's 1533-position model. The record is from RNAcentral.